AUUACACUCACCUGCUCUCCCGAUUCGGCUGGUUCACCAACUCUAACCACAUCUUCUGGUAUAUUCACCACACAACGGAACACAUCAUAACUGGGUGGCAAUUUACCGGAUUCAAACAUCAUUCUAAAAACAACACGCCACAACAACAACAAAAUGUCUUUUCAAUGGUAAUUUGCUAACUGAAUUGAACUUCAUUGGUUUUCUGGAAAUCAUUCCUAGUGUAUAGGUAUUUACUUCGAUGAAUGUUAAAGAAGUAUUUUCCUUCGAUAAUGAACCGUGCAUUGGAACUGAGAAAGUUCAUUUUAUUUCCAUUGAUUUCUUUUGAAAGGAGAAUUAACAAAUUAUUCCAUAAGUUCUUAAAAAGGGGAGCGAAUGAUUUUUCCAUUGGAAUAAUAUUGUCCCCUUAUAAUAAACCAUUGGAAAAGGUGUUCUUAAGAGUUUAAACAUUUUGAGAAAACCAUGGUGAAAAGCUUUUCUCCAUUUUUAUGAAUUUUAUAUUUUAUAUAGUAAACAACAAAUCAUGUUUUAUACCCUACACCACAAUUGAGAGGUUUGUAUGAAAACAUUAGUGCUACAGAUCGCAAUUACAAAGACAAAUUUCAAUAAAUAUGCGUUACAGUCUAUAGCACCAAGGAGGAAGGAAGUCUCUUGGCUUCAUUGUGUUCUCUCCAAAUAAUUUUUUUCGUAGAUGCAAAAAAUUCCCUAUAAGAAUAUUUUAACUAUAAAAUAAAUUGUUUAAAUAAUUCACACAAAUC
This is a long non-coding RNA of Lucilia sericata (common green bottle fly), 755 nucleotides long. RefSeq lists it as uncharacterized. NCBI's taxonomy places the organism in Eukaryota, Metazoa, Arthropoda, Insecta, Diptera, Calliphoridae. The record is from RefSeq and is a predicted model, not a curated record. The transcript has 3 exons.